UUAUUAAACCAUUAGAACAAAAACCUUGUAACCUGGUCAGGUCAGAAAUGAAGCAGCCAUAUCAAGAAGUGUUGUGUCUAGUGGCUUUUUUAUAAAA
RNAcentral lists this signal recognition particle RNA (97 nucleotides) under Mycoplasma iguanae. RNAcentral describes it as "signal recognition particle sRNA small type". It matches the Rfam family "Bacterial small signal recognition particle RNA". From Rfam's summary of the family: The signal recognition particle (SRP) is a universally conserved ribonucleoprotein involved in the co-translational targeting of proteins to membranes. Archaeal SRP consists of a 7S RNA and homologues of the eukaryotic SRP19 and SRP54 proteins. The record is from RNAcentral. Lineage: Bacteria; Bacillati; Mycoplasmatota; Mollicutes; Mycoplasmatales; Mycoplasmataceae.